GACGUAGGGCGCGAGCGUUGUCCGGAUUUAUUGGGCGUAAAGAGCUCGUAGGUGGCUUGUCGCGUCGACUGUGAAAACCCGUGGCUCAACCAUGUGGUCUGCAGUCGAUACGGGCAGGCUAGAAUUCGGUAGGGGAGACUGGAAUUCCUGGUGUAGCGGUGAAAUGCGCAGAUAUCAGGAGGAACACCGGUGGCGAAGGCGGGUCUCUGGGCCGAUAUUGACGCUGAGGAGCGAAAGCGUGGGGAGCGAACAGG
RNAcentral lists this ribosomal RNA (254 nucleotides) under uncultured bacterium. RNAcentral describes it as "partial 16S ribosomal RNA". It matches the Rfam family "Bacterial small subunit ribosomal RNA", at positions 524 to 776 of the family's 1533-position model. The record is from RNAcentral.